Molecule: ribosomal RNA, 253 nt
Filed under: uncultured bacterium
Lineage: Bacteria
Description: partial 16S ribosomal RNA
Rfam family: Bacterial small subunit ribosomal RNA
Source: RNAcentral
UACGAAGGGGGCUAGCGUUGCUCGGAAUCACUGGGCGUAAAGCGCACGUAGGCGGAUUUCUAAGUCGGGGGUGAAAUCCUGGAGCUCAACUCCAGAACUGCCUUCGAUACUGGAAAUCUCGAGUCCGGGAGAGGUGAGUGGAACUCCGAGUGUAGAGGUGAAAUUCGUAGAUAUUCGGAAGAACACCAGUGGCGAAGGCGGCUCGCUGGCCCGGUACUGACGCUGAGGUGCGAAAGCGUGGGGAGCAAACAGG